Non-coding RNA from Physcomitrium patens, 1083 nucleotides. The record is from RefSeq and is a predicted model, not a curated record. Lineage: Eukaryota; Viridiplantae; Streptophyta; Bryopsida; Funariales; Funariaceae.
AUAUAAACAAUGACUUUUUUCUUGUUAGACGUCGUUGCUCGACUCUCAAAUCCGUACUGAAGUAAUCCAGCUUGUGCGUAGAGGUAAUUCCAAUUGACUGAUUACAUUCAGGAAUAUCGACCUUGCGUUUGUACAGGGGACACCUUUUCUAGCGAUCAACCUCUAUUACAACAUUUUAAACAUGAGGCGCUCAGGUUCGUACAAAAGACUGAUGACAGAAUUUGUAACUUUCAUAUGAUUUUUUAAAAAAACACUUUUACAAAAAGGAUAGAAAUGAAAAACAACGUUCAUUCACCAUAACCUGAAGUUGGCACUUUAAAGCUCCUACGGACAUUAAGACAUUGGCAUCUUCAAGCAAGUCACGAGAUCCGCUAGCAAUUGGUUUGAGGAAAUGACAUACUUGGCUAAGAUAAUAGUCGUUGUACUGAUUGAGUCUGCCGGCACUGGUACUUGAGUAGAACCACUGGUGUCUUCUAGUAGCUCUAUUUCCAAAUUUCAUAGAAUCAGGAUGUUGGAUGCUUCAUUAAAGUUGAAUAUACAUGUGAAGCGGGAGGUACUUCGCAUGCAUAUUAAGAAAUCAUAAGGUUCUUCCUUUUCCACGUCGUAUUCAUUUUUAAUUGUCGCAUGCAGGUUUUUUCUCAAUAUUUGAACCAUGCAUGCAGCAAAGUAAAACCAGCACAAAAAGAAGGCCAUUGUGUAAUACUUACGAGACUGCGCGAGGAUACCAGAUUGGAAGUCACCACUAGCAAAGUAAUCAAUCAUGUCAGAUUUGCCAGAUGCUCUCCGAGUGAAGGUGCUCUGAAUCCCACCAAGAUUCACGAAACGAAGACGAAGCUCAACAUAGACACGGUCUUCUUCCAGAUGCACUUACUUUCCGGAUGUAGGGAGUUCUCCUUCACUAUCAUAGGAUAGACUCCCUGUCCCUGUCUGAGAUGUUGGCAUCGAGCGCUUGGAAGAUUUUCCAUCUGUGGUUAGAGGGGCUACACGUGUGGCAAAGUCGAAAUGGGCUGUUUUAGAAGCAUUAACUUCCUGACUUUCAAAAGACAUGCAGGAGUAACAGUCGCAGAUACUAUUUCACACUCA